CAUAACACCUCCCCCAGGACUGCUUUCUCUUCCUUGCUAAGCAAACCCCACCUCUUCCUCUUCAGCCUUUCUCAGGCACGCAACCUCCGCCGUCUCCGGAUCGUUCUCCGGCAUCCCUCCGCCGCCACUUCUCCUCCCCGUUCCUAGCCAAGCUCCGGCCCUCCGCCAUCCCCUCCUCCUUGACCGCCUCUCUACUCCUCUGAAGAUGGAACACGGGCCAGCUGCUACGCCUGAGCUGGCACAAGGUCAUCGGGCAGAGGAGGUCCAGCGCCGACGAGCCACUCACGCCCGUGUCUGAGGUCUCGGAGGCGCUGGAGUUGCCGGCCUUACUGAGAUGGGUCGGCGGGGAUGAUGGUGUUGGGGUCAGGAGGGAAAGGCCACCGACGAGGAUGGCGGCAUGGCAGGGGCUUGUUCGGUUAAUCCUCUCCCCAAGAGGAUUGGAGGGGAUUGGCAAGGAUUGGCUUGUAUUUUGACUUACAAGAGGUUUAAAUCCCCUUCAAACCCCUUCAAUCCACUCGGAUUCGCACCCAACCGAACAAGGCCUUAGGUGAAUUGGAAGAUGUUUUGACAUGUUAAAAUGGUGCAUCCUGUGCUAGUUGACUGGUCAAUCUUUUCAUUUGUUGGGAGCUGAAAGUUGUAUUUCCAAAUUAACAGAGGGUGAACCGUGGUUCUCAGGUAUGAUGCAAAGCAUUCCAUGUUGUGUUUACUAAUAUCAGGUGCUCAUUCACGUAUGAUUUUAUUGAUUAUUGAAGAAUAAACAGGUUAUAUAGUGUUUGCUUGGACUGUAAAUUUUCUCUCUUAUCAUUUGUGAAUUUUAGCAAUUGUUUCUUAUUGAUCCGUCUUUUCUUCCCGGUAGGUGAUAUCAGAAUUAUCGAGUCCUGCCAAUCACAUGAGAUCACUGAUCUUAUUUUGGUGCAUGGUUAGCCUGAUGGUUUGAUUGUCUGUCAUCUAUCAUUAGGGACAACUGCAUACUUUGGUUUACUCAAUGUGGUAAAUGCCCAUGUCUGUUUUAUUCACGAUGAGCAGAUGCAGUAUACAACAUGAGACAACAUUCUUGGCGGCAGCUCGUGGUCCCAUUUUUUCGCAGGUAACACGACAUGAUGGUGUUCUACGGCCCAUUUGGCAUACUUUUUGUCUUCGCUUUCUUGGACGGUUAUUCAUUAGUCCAAUGCUUGACAUCAAUGUGGAUUCAUUUAGGUGUAGAUGUUGUAGGUUGCAGAUACUAAAUUUAGUCUAGGUGUAGAUGUUGCAGGUUGCAGAUACUAAAUUUAGGAUUCAUUUAGUAUCCAAUGCUUUCAUUUUCACACCGGUACUGAAUUAUUCUAUACUAAAUUUAGGAUUUAUUUUUCAGUUACACCAUGUAUUUGUUUUUUCACUUCCUGCCGGUGCUGAACUCUUUUGCUUGGCCAUGAGAAGGGCAGUGGGUGAAAAUGUUGGCUUAGAAAUUUAGAACAUCAUUGAAGUGGUCAGGGGUCUGGUCGUGUUAAGUAAACACUGUACAGAGUCAGUCUGGCACUCCUGUACAUCAAGAAUUAGCUGAACCUUUCAGCAGUAGCACAUUUAUGUAUAUGAAUUUGUGUUCGCAUAUGUUGACCCUCUUUUAAUAUUGUAGGACCUGCCAAAUUUAGUUGCAAGUAAAGAUGCAGAUUUUUCAUAUGUUGAUGCUGUUUUUUGUUGCUUGGCACAUGUAACAACACAGGUUGGUAGCUUCAUCAUGCUUUUUCUGAGAUUUUUUUCUAUCAAUUGCUAAACUUAUGAAGGAAUCCAGUUAUAUGCUCAGCUCUCAAUUGGAAGAUAAGAUUUUGUAUCGAACACACUUAGAGCAAUGUCUGAUGGCAAGUUUGUUAUCAAGAAAUUAUUAAAGGCUUACCCCAACAAUUGGAGAUUGUUGGUCCCUCUGCGGUAUGCUCUAUACAAACACAUGCUUUACCUAUGUUGGUAUCACCUCGGUUGCUAUUGAACAACCAAUCUUUCAGACUUACCAUGCUCGUAGGAUUUUCGAUUGCGUGACAUCAAUGAGUAUGCUGAGUGGUAUGGCACUAUGGCCAUGCUCAUAGGGCACUGAAACUUCAGGUGUUCUUGAGUACUAUACCCUACAGACUUGUUAAUAUACCAGCCAUUGGUUACACAAAUUUUGAAGUUACUCAGUUCUAAAGUUCCAGUUUACUGAGAUGUUUCAUCAAUUUCUUUGUACAUUACCUUUGGAGCUUGGAUUAGAUUCCUGUGUAGCCUAUGAUGUCUUCUAGUCCUCUUGUGUCAUUAUGUUUGUUUGUUGUGAACUCAUAAGAGGUUGUAUAUGGUUUGACGGAGGUUCUUCGAGAUGAAAUAAGAGAUGUGCGGCUUGUUGCCAACCCCCGCAUCUAUUCAGCUCCCUCUUGUUGCUCUAAUUAAGGUGAAAAUUAAUAAAAGUUCUUAGUCUUCCCAGAUCAAAGCAACAAGCAUUUAGACUCAAUAGCCCUCACUUGUGAACCAUCUGUUUUUGUUUUUGUAAUAUCUUUUUUAUUCUAUCCAAAAAGAGGUUGUUAUUCAUGUUAUUAUUAUUUAUUAACCUGCAUUCGAUGGUUAUGCAGUAAGACAGUAACAUGCUUCUGUGAGCAAACGUUGAUGUUUAGAUCAUGUACAACAGUGCAUGUAAAUAUCAUUUCUUUUAUUUAGAAUUCCACACACCCAAUUCAUAUGAGAAUAUCUUGAGAAGAUCAGUUCUGCCACUGCUGCUGUUGUAGAAUGAAUUGGAUGAGCUCUUCCUUUAGUUGCUGCUACUUUUAGCCCUUAUUUCCUUGAGAACAUCUUCAAAGUAUAGAUAAGAAAAUUACGUGGCUAUAGAAGGAUAUAUGUCAUUCAAUAAAACACCAAAGAAAAAUAACUUUGAAAUCUAUAUAUUUUAUUGACUGUGCACCUAUUCCAUCUACUAAAUAACUUCUGUGAGGUAAUCCUGAUCAGAAGUUUUAUACAACUUCUCUUCUUUGAAGCUUCUUUUCAUUCCCGUGCUCUCCUCUUUUAUAUGAAUUAUGUAGGUGGACCUGUUAGGCCGUAAUAUUACCAUGUGCUAAGAUUUUGUUCCUCUGUGUUGGAUUUGGUUACAAAAUCAAGGGAUAGAAAAUAUGAAUAUUCGUGUGCUGCCCACCAAUGGAACAUUUUGUUUUUUUACUGUGACUAUUCUGUAUUUUGUUUGCUUCGUCCAACAACGACGUUGACUGGACAAGAGGUAGGUUUUCCCUUUGUGUUUAGAUUCUUAUGUCUUUCCAGAUGCUCUAUUUUCAACCAAUUGAAUGAUUAUAUUAGCCCUGCAGUUGUAAUCAAUCCCCGGGAAACGAGCAACUAGAGCAAUCAAUAAUUCGUGACUACGUCUGCUUCAUGCUCUACAGGGAGUCAGAUGGCUGUCCUAAACAGAGGGUCGGUGUUGCACGAGCUGAAGCUGCGAACACCUUCAUAUCCUGAUCGUCUGAAAAUCUUUCUUAGUUGCUACAGUACUCUAUUUCAUGAGGUUCCAUAUUGAUUGAUAUUCAGCACCAAUCUGCAAAGAACCAAUAGGUGACACAUCCUGAGUCCUUCGCCGUGGCGUGGACAAGACGCCCUGCCGGAGCAGGGUGUGGAUGAGUUGGUGGCUCCGGUCACGCACACCGGCUGGUACUGCUCCGGCGAGCCACCGCUGCCGUUGCCUGUCUCAAUCUCGCUUGGCAUCAACUUUAGGCGAGGGCGCUGAACGCAGAGAAGGGAAGAAAAAACUAUGGGCGCUCUUACUAGAGCUGUAAUUAUGCACAUCCGAAAAGAAGCUAAGCUGCAGUGUGUCUGUACUGUGCUACAGACGAGAUUCGUUUGUAUUGGCUGUCAUGCAUUUCUCUUUACUUUUCACAUGAAGUAGCAACAUAAUAUGUUGAUGAAAGAGCUCACCAUUGUCA
This is a long non-coding RNA of Triticum aestivum (bread wheat), 3899 nucleotides long. RefSeq lists it as uncharacterized. The record is from RefSeq and is a predicted model, not a curated record. Lineage: Eukaryota; Viridiplantae; Streptophyta; Magnoliopsida; Poales; Poaceae. The transcript has 3 exons.